GGGCAGCAAAGCAACAACAUAUAUAUUACUUAAUUAUAAUAUAAAGAUAGUUGCAUAUAUAUGGUGAAUAUCAUCACCGGAAUUUGUAAAUACUAAAUAGUACAUUACUCCCUUGACACAUGCACUUAAACACACAAAUCCCGACUUAAAUAAAUAGCUAGCUUGCUGCCCUAGCUAAACUAUUGAACGCCUAAUUAUCUUCAUCAUCAUUGUCUCUUUCAUGAGGAGAUCCAAAUUCAAUGUUAAUUCUCAUGGCGAUAGCAUGAAUAUCCAACGGAUUAGUAUCACGACUAACAAUUACAUCAAAUGUACGUUCGGGGCUAGAGGGAAUGACUGCAAUGCAGUAUGUUCCUCUCUCAUUUGUAAUUCUUAUAGAUCAUCCCAAAAUUUGUGUUUGAAAUUUUCAUGAGAUCCGUGGGAAUUACAAUGAGAGAGGAACAAAUUGGAUUGCAGUCAUUCUCUCUGGCCCCAAACAUACCGUUGAUGGAAUUGUUAGUCGUGAUACUAAUCCGUUGGGUAUUCGUGCUAUCAACAUGGGAAUUAACAUUAAUUGAAUUUGGAUCUCCUCAUGAUAGUGAUGAUGAUGUUGUUGUUUCGCUCAAUCCUACCUUGCAUCUCUACAUACGUGCCAUGCCAGAUACAUGGUGUCAUGGUGAUACCUUGAAUUCCACACGAGGAUAUUGUUCUUCAAUCACCAAACGCUGAAAUUGUUCCCUAAACUCAGCGGGUGUUUCAACCCUCACACUGUGGUAAUCUCCGUUGUCCAUGAUUCCUACCAUAUUAUUAAAUUAACACUAUUAAUAAUUUAAUCUAGACUUUAAAACAAAAUCUUAAAUUUUGAUAAAUACUUCUUCAAAUAUAUGCACAUAUUAAAUCAUCAAGAUUUGAAAACCUCAAACAACGUGGAAAUAACAAGCUCAUUUUUCCAAUAUUAUAUCAAUAGUUGAAAAUCUUCCCUUCAACACUAACAGAUGUGUUCAUGGCUCCAUUUUUGCCUUCACAUAUUUGAUCAAUAGGCUAUAUGAAAUGAUAGAACCAAGUGCAGUCAUUUGUAUCUGUUUUUUUUUACUACUUUUAAGCACAAGAUUUAAUGAGAUUUCUACUACCCUUAAUAGAAGAUAAAUAUAGAUGUCUUUUACUAUGUUUGGACCUUGUACUUUGUUCGGGUUGAAAUACCCUUAUAUACUCUCUUAAUUAAUAAAAAGUUUUGCUUAUAUAGAAAAAUACUAGAAUAUCAUAGUUUAAGGUUCUUGGUUAUCAUUUCCUCAAGAGGAUCAAACCACAUAUUUUGAGUAUCAAGAGUCAUUAGCUUUUAAUUAAAGCUUCAUCAUUUACAACAAAAUAAGAACUUGGUGUCUUGGAGACCACCAUCUCUAACAAAAGAAAGAGAGAUAUUUGUCUCAAAAACUACUUGUAAACUUGAAAGGAAAAAUAUGAGCUUUUAUCAUAAAGACAUCAAGAACAAAUAAAAUCUUUAAGAAGAAAAGUUGUAGAAGGAGGUGAAGAAGAAGUCUUUAGAAGUAUGAAGAUGAGGAAUAUUGGUCAUUCAUACCAAUGGGGGAAAGGAGAAUUGCUCUUAAUUCUUUACUAACACUCUCUCUUUUCUCUCUCUCUCUCUCUCUCAAUUCUCUGAGUAC
This 1637-nucleotide long non-coding RNA is filed under the name Cicer arietinum (chickpea). RNAcentral's name for it is "long non-coding RNA (CARI_LNC002373)". Lineage: Eukaryota; Viridiplantae; Streptophyta; Magnoliopsida; Fabales; Fabaceae. The record is from RNAcentral.